AUACGUAGGUGACAAGCGUUAUCCGGAUUUACUGGGCGUAAAGGGAGCGUAGGCGGGAGCUUAAGUCAGCGGUUAAAUGGUGCGGCUCAACCGUGCCCUGCCGUUGAAACUGGGUUUCUUGAGAGUGCAAGAGGCGGAUGGAAUUUAUGGGGUAGCGGGGAAAUGCUUAGAUAUCAUGAAGAACUCCGAUUGCGAAGGCAGUCCGCUGGGGCACGUCUGACGCUGAUGCUCGAAGGUGCGGGAAUCAAACAGGAUUAGAUACCCUGGUAGUCCGCACGGUAAACGAUGAUUACCCGCUGUCGGCGGCAGACAGUCGGCGGCCAAGCGAAAGCGAUAAGUAAUCCACCUGGGGAGUACGCCGGCAACGGUGAAACUCAAAGGAAUUGACGGGG
Molecule: ribosomal RNA, 392 nt
Filed under: uncultured bacterium
Lineage: Bacteria
Description: partial 16S ribosomal RNA
Rfam family: Bacterial small subunit ribosomal RNA
Source: RNAcentral